GAAGGUGUGUCGUGAGGCAUGCUGGAGGUAUCAGAAGUGCGAAUGCUGACAUAAGUAACGAUAAAGCGGGUGAAAAGCCCGCUCGCCGGAAGACCAAGGGUUCCUGUCCAACGUUAAUCGGGGCAGGGUGAGUCGACCCCUAAGGCGAGGCCGAAAGGCGUAGUCGAUGGGAAACGGGUUAAUAUUCCCGUACUUGGUGUUACUGCGAAGGGGGGACGGAGAAGGCUAUGUUGGCCGGGCGACGGUUGUCCCGGUUUAAGCGUGUAGGCUGGUUUUCCAGGCAAAUCCGGAAAAUCAAGGCUGAGGCGUGACGACGAGGCACUACGGUGCUGAAGCAACAAAUGCCCUGCUUCCAGGAAAAGCCUCUAAGCAUCAGGUAACACGAAAUCGUACCCCAAACCGACACAGGUGGUCAGGUAGAGAAUACCAAGGCGCUUGAGAGAACUCGGGUGAAGGAACUAGGCAAAAUGGUGCCGUAACUUCGGGAGAAGGCACGCUGAUAUGUAGGUGAAGCGGUUUACCCGUGGAGCUGAAAUCAGUCGAAGAUACCAGCUGGCUGCAACUGUUUAUUAAAAACACAGCACUGUGCAAACACGAAAGUGGACGUAUACGGUGUGACGCCUGCCCGGUGCCGGAAGGUUAAUUGAUGGGGUCAGCGCAAGCGAAGCUCCUGAUCGAAGCCCCGGUAAACGGCGGCCGUAACUAUAACGGUCCUAAGGUAGCGAAAUUCCUUGUCGGGUAAGUUCCGACCUGCACGAAUGGCGUAAUGAUGGCCAGGCUGUCUCCACCCGAGACUCAGUGAAAUUGAACUCGCUGUGAAGAUGCAGUGUACCCGCGGCAAGACGGAAAGACCCCGUGAACCUUUACUAUAGCUUGACACUGAACAUUGAGCCUUGAUGUGUAGGAUAGGUGGGAGGCUUUGAAGUGUGGACGCCAGUCUGCAUGGAGCCGACCUUGAAAUACCACCCUUUAAUGUUUGAUGUUCUAACGUGGACCCGUGAUCCGGGUUGCGGACAGUGUCUGGUGGGUAGUUUGACUGGGGCGGUCUCCUCCUAAAGAGUAACGGAGGAGCACGAAGGUUGGCUAAUCCUGGUCGGACAUCAGGAGGUUAGUGCAAUGGCAUAAGCCAGCUUGACUGCGAGCGUGACGGCGCGAGCAGGUGCGAAAGCAGGUCAUAGUGAUCCGGUGGUUCUGAAUGGAAGGGCCAUCGCUCAACGGAUAAAAGGUACUCCGGGGAUAACAGGCUGAUACCGCCCAAGAGUUCAUAUCGACGGCGGUGUUUGGCACCUCGAUGUCGGCUCAUCACAUCCUGGGGCUGAAGUAGGUCCCAAGGGUAUGGCUGUUCGCCAUUUAAAGUGGUACGCGAGCUGGGUUUAGAACGUCGUGAGACAGUUCGGUCCCUAUCUGCCGUGGGCGCUGGAGAACUGAGGGGGGCUGCUCCUAGUACGAGAGGACCGGAGUGGACGCAUCACUGGUGUUCGGGUUGUCAUGCCAAUGGCACUGCCCGGUAGCUAAAUGCGGAAGAGAUAAGUGCUGAAAGCAUCUAAGCACGAAACUUGCCCCGA
This 1565-nucleotide ribosomal RNA is filed under the name Salmonella enterica. RNAcentral's name for it is "partial 23S ribosomal RNA". It matches the Rfam family "Bacterial large subunit ribosomal RNA", at positions 1252 to 2802 of the family's 2925-position model. The record is from RNAcentral. Lineage: Bacteria; Pseudomonadati; Pseudomonadota; Gammaproteobacteria; Enterobacterales; Enterobacteriaceae.